This is a long non-coding RNA of Mytilus californianus (California mussel), 725 nucleotides long. RefSeq lists it as uncharacterized. Lineage: Eukaryota; Metazoa; Mollusca; Bivalvia; Mytilida; Mytilidae. The transcript has 5 exons. The record is from RefSeq and is a predicted model, not a curated record.
GAUAGACGGGAACCGUGAGAGAAGAAGACGAAAGUACAGUCUUAGACAUGGAGAUGAUUUAAUUGUAGAUGCCUAGAUGAUGAUGUUAGCAUUAAUUACUGCUUGUCAUUAUGGAUUGAAGUUUAGAAUGAUCAUUGAAUCCGACUUUUAAGGUUAUUGCAGUGACUGUUUUCAUGGAUGGAGAGUAAAACUUGGUGGUCUGAUACUGCUAUAUAUUAAUGAAAAUUUGGAUCCUUUUGGUUGGAAAGAUUGUCAGGAACCUGAAGAAACUGAAUUCACAAUAAACAUAUGUACACAAACAGAAAAAUAACAACACUGGUUGAUACAAUUCUAGGAACCGGAAGAAGUUAAAAGUUUGACUUGCAACGGAAAAUCCAGGAAAACAUGUCUUUUACUGAACAGUAUGAGAGAGCAAUGAUGAUUAUUGGAUUUAAACUGCUUGGAAAAUAUAACCAAAUGAAGACGAAAAAUGCGCUGCAUCAACAAACAAAACAACUACUGAAAGAUUGGGAUUCUAAAAACAAUUGUUCAAAAUCUUCUACAAGUUUAAGAAGACUGUACAUACAUGUAUAUAUAUAUAUAUUUAUAUAAGAAAGAAAAAAGUUUCAAGCACAUGCAUUAUUUUGUGUACAUAAAUGUAAUGAAUAGAAAAAAGGAAAGAAAAAAAAAAGGAAAACAAAAUGAAAAGAAAAAAAAAAAAAAAAAAAAAAAAUUAUAAAAAAGAG